This 93-nucleotide transfer RNA is filed under the name Dehalococcoidia bacterium. Its description in RNAcentral is "tRNA-Sec". It matches the Rfam family "Selenocysteine transfer RNA". Lineage: Bacteria; Bacillati; Chloroflexota; Dehalococcoidia. The record is from RNAcentral. RNAcentral also lists the same sequence under 1 other name.
GGGAGUGGAUGAGCUCCGGUGGGCUCCACGGACUUCAAAUCCGCUGGUGGGCAUUUUUAAUGUCCAUAGUGGUUCGACUCCCUCCACUCCCGC